RNAcentral lists this ribosomal RNA (253 nucleotides) under uncultured bacterium. RNAcentral describes it as "partial 16S ribosomal RNA". It matches the Rfam family "Bacterial small subunit ribosomal RNA", at positions 524 to 776 of the family's 1533-position model. The record is from RNAcentral.
UACGGAGGGAGCUAGCGUUGUUCGGAAUUACUAGGCGUAAAGCGCGCGUAGGCGGCUUUGUAAGUUAGAGGUGAAAGCCCGGAGCUCAACUCCGGGACUGCCUUUAAAACUGCAUCGCUUGAAUCCAGGAGAGGUGGGUGGAAUUCCGAGUGUAGAGGUGAAAUUCGUAGAUAUUCGGAAGAACACCAGUGGCGAAGGCGGCUCACUGGACUGGUAUUGACGCUGAGGCGCGAAAGCGUGGGGAGCAAACAGG